UACAGAGGGGGCAAGCGUUGUUCGGAAUUACUGGGCGUAAAGGGCGCGUAGACGGCUAUCUAAGUCGGGUGUGAAAGCCCCGGGCUCAACCUGGGAAUUGCAUUCGAGACUGAAUAGCUAGGGUACGGUAGAGGGAAGUGGAAUUUCCGGUGUAGCGGUGAAAUGCGUAGAUAUCGGAAGGAACAUCAGUGGCGAAAGCGACUUCCUGGACCAGUACCGACGUUCAGGCACGAAAGCGUGGGGAGCAAACAGG
Molecule: ribosomal RNA, 253 nt
Filed under: uncultured bacterium
Lineage: Bacteria
Description: partial 16S ribosomal RNA
Rfam family: Bacterial small subunit ribosomal RNA
Source: RNAcentral